RNAcentral lists this ribosomal RNA (430 nucleotides) under bacterium. Its description in RNAcentral is "partial 16S ribosomal RNA". It matches the Rfam family "Bacterial small subunit ribosomal RNA", at positions 355 to 776 of the family's 1533-position model. The record is from RNAcentral.
UGGGGAAUAUUGGACAAUGGGCGGAAGCCUGAUCCAGCCAUGCCGCGUGUGUGAAGAAGGCCUUUUGGUUGUAAAGCACUUUAAGCGAGGAGGAGGCUACUUGGAUUAAUACUCUAGGAUAGUGGACGUUACUCGCAGAAUAAGCACCGGCUAACUCUGUGCCAGCAGCCGCGGUAAUACAGAGGGUGCGAGCGUUAAUCGGAUUUACUGGGCGUAAAGCGUGCGUAGGCGGCUUCUUAAGUCGGAUGUGAAAUCCCUGAGCUUAACUUAGGAAUUGCAGUCGAUACUGGGAAGCUAGGGUAUGGGAGAGGAUGGUAGAAUUCCAGGUGUAGCGGUGAAAUGCGUAAAGGUCUAGAGGAAGACCGAUGGCGAAGGCAGCCAUCUGGCCUAAUACUGGCGCUGAAGUACGAAAGCAUGGGGAGCAAACAGG